CCUACGGGAGGCAGCAGUGAGGAAUAUUGGUCAAUGGGCGCGAGCCUGAACCAGCCAAGUAGCGUGAAGGAUGACUGCCCUACGGGUUGUAAACUUCUUUUAUAAAGGAAUAAAGUGAGGCACGUGUGCCUUUUUGUAUGUACUUUAUGAAUAAGGAUCGGCUAACUCCGUGCCAGCAGCCGCGGUAAUACGGAGGAUCCGAGCGUUAUCCGGAUUUAUUGGGUUUAAAGGGAGCGUAGAUGGGUUGUUAAGUCAGUUGUGAAAGUUUGCGGCUCAACCGUAAAAUUGCAAUUGAUACGGGCAGCCUUGCGUACAGUUGCGGUCGGCGGACUUCGUGGUGUGGCGGUGCUCUGCUUCGAUAUCACGAAGCACUCCGAUUGC
RNAcentral lists this ribosomal RNA (381 nucleotides) under uncultured bacterium. Its description in RNAcentral is "partial 16S ribosomal RNA". It matches the Rfam family "Bacterial small subunit ribosomal RNA", at positions 338 to 716 of the family's 1533-position model. The record is from RNAcentral.